UACGUAGGGUGCGGGCGUUGUCCGGAAUUAUUGGGCGUAAAGAGCUCGUAGGCGGUGUGUCACGUCGAUCGUGAAAACUUACAGCUUAACUGUGAGCGUGCGGUCGAUACGGGCAUCACUGGAGUUCGGCAGGGGAGACUGGAAUUCCUGGUGUAGCGGUGAAAUGCGCAGAUAUCAGGAGGAACACCGGUGGCGAAGGCGGGUCUCUGGGCCGAUACUGACGCUGAGGAGCGAAAGCGUGGGGAGCGAACAGG
Molecule: ribosomal RNA, 254 nt
Filed under: uncultured bacterium
Lineage: Bacteria
Description: partial 16S ribosomal RNA
Rfam family: Bacterial small subunit ribosomal RNA
Source: RNAcentral